AAGGAAGACACAAAAUCAAAAUCAGAAAAGUGGAAAUAUGUUGAGAUUUUAUAGACAUAAAUACUUUUAUCUCAUUGACAAACUUGAGAUUUUAUUUGAUGAUUGAUAAGAAAAUCAACACCAAAUGAACCGUCACCCUCUAAACACGUCAUUACCAAACAUCAAGUAAACAAACGCCGCUCAGCGCCGCCCUCUAAAGGCGUCAUUAACAACCAUCAAAUAAACAAACGUCGCUCAGCUCCGCCCUCUAAAGGCGUCAUUAACAACCAUCAAAUAAACAAACGUCGCUCAGCGCCGCCCUCUAAAGACGUCAUUAACAACCAUCAAACAAACAUCGCUCAGCACCGCCCUCUAAAGGCGUCAUUAACAACCAUCAAAUUAACAAACGCCACUCAGCGCCGCCCUCUAAAGACGUCAUUAACAAACAUCAAAUAAACAAACGUCACUCAGCGCCGCCCUCUAAAGACGUCAUUAACAACCAUCAAAUAAACGUCACUCAGCGCCGCCCUCUAAAGGCGUCAUUAACAACCAUCAAAUAAACAAACAUCGCUCAGCUCCGCCCUCUAAAGGCGUCAUUAACAACCAUCAAAUAAACAAACAUCGCUCAGCUCCGCCCUCUAAAGACGUCAUUAACAAACAUCAAAUAAACAAACGCCGCUCAGCACCGCCCUCUAAAGGCGUCAUUAACAACCAUCAAAUAAACAAACGCCGCUCAGCUCCGCCCUCUAAAGACGUCAUUAACAACCAUCAAAUAAACAAACGCCGCUCAGCUCCGCCCUCUAAAGACGUCAUUAACAACCAUCAAAUAAACAAACAUCACUCAGCUCCGCCCUCUAAAGACGUCAUUAACAACCAUCAAAUAAACAAACAUCGCUCAGCUCCGCCCUCUAAAGACGUCAUUAACAAACAUCAAAUAAACAAACAUCGCUCAGCUCCGCCCUCUAAAGACGUCAUUAACAAACAUCAAAUAAACAAACGUCACUCAGCGCUGCCCUCUAAAGGCGUCAUUAACAACCAUCAAAUAAACAAAUGCCGCUCAGCGCCGCCCUCUAAAGACGUCAUUAACAACCAUCAAAUAAACAAACGCCGCUCAGCUCCGCCCUCUAAAGACGUCAUUAACAACCAUCAAAUAAACAAACGCCGCUCAGCUCCGCCCUCUAAAGACGUCAUUAACAACCAUCAAAUAAACAAACAUCACUCAGCUCCGCCCUCUAAAGGCGUCAUUAACAACCAUCAAAUAAACAAACAUCGCUCAGCUCCGCCCUCUAAAGACGUCAUUAACAAACAUCAAAUAAACAAACGUCACUCAGCGCUGCCCUCUAAAGGCGUCAUUAACAACCAUCAAAUAAACAAAUGCCGCUCAGCGCCGCCCUCUAAAGACGUCAUUAACAACCAUCAAAUAAACAAACGCCGCUCAGCUCCGCCCUAUAAAGGCGUCAUUAACAACCAUCAAAUAAACAAACAUCGCUCAGCUCCACCCUCUAAAGGCGUCAUUAACAAACAUCAAAUAAACAAACGCCGCUCAGCUCCGCCCUCUAAAGGCGUCAUUAACAACCAUCAAAUAAACAAACAUCGCUCAGCUCCACCCUCUAAAGACGUCAUUAACAAACAUCAAAUAAACAAACGUCACUCAGCUCCACCCUCUAAAGACGUCAUUAACAAACAUCAAAUAAACAAACGUCGCUCAGCUCCGCCCUCUAAAGGCGUCAUUAACAAACAUCAAAUAAACAAACGUCGCUCAGCUCCACCCUCUAAAGGCGUCGUUAACAAACAUCAAAUAAACAAACGUCGCUCAGCUCCGCCCUCUAAAGACGCCAUUAACAACCAUCAAAUAAACAAACGUCGCUCAGCUCCGCCCUCUAAAUACGUCAUUAACAACCAUCAAAUAAACAAACGUCACUCAGCGCUGCCCUCUAAAGACGUCAUUAACAAACAUCAAAUAAACAAACGUCGCUCAGCUCCGCCCUCUAAAGGCGUCAUUAACAAACAUCAAAUAAACAAACGUCGCUCAGCUCCACCCUCUAAAGGCGUCAUUAACAAACAUCAAAUAAACAAACGUCGCUCAGCUCCGCCCUCUAAAGACGCCAUUAACAACCAUCAAAUAAACAAACGUCGCUCAGCUCCGCCCUCUAAAUACGUCAUUAACAACCAUCAAAUAAACAAACGUCACUCAGCGCUGCCCUCUAAAGGCGUCAUUAACAACCAUCAAAUAAACAAACGUCGCUCAGCGUCGCCCUCUAAAGACGUCAUUAAAAACCAUCAAAUAAACAAACGUCGCUCAGCGCCGCCCUCUAAAGACGUCAUUAACAAACAUCAAAUAAACAAACACCGCUCAGCUCCGCCCUCUAUAGACGUCAUUAACAACCAUCAAAUAAACAAACACCGCUCAGCUCCGCCCUCUAAAGACGUCAUUAACAACCAUCAAAUAAACAAACACCGCUCAGCUCCGCCCUCUAUAGACGUCAUUAACAACCAUCAAAUAAACAAACACCGCUCAGCUCCGCCCUCUAAAGACGUCAUUAACAACCAUCAAAUAAACAAACGUCGCUCAGCGCCGCCCUCUAAAGGCGUCAUUAACAACAGUUCAUCAUAACAUGACAUCACAACUAGAACAUCUCGGAGUUUCUUCACUGUCAGUGCAUUUACAAUGGAGAACGUCUGUACUUUUACUCCAGUAACAGAGUAACCCAGCAGCUCUGAUUCUGAAUCAUCUUCUU
Molecule: long non-coding RNA, 2717 nt
Organism: Pygocentrus nattereri (red-bellied piranha)
Lineage: Eukaryota; Metazoa; Chordata; Actinopteri; Characiformes; Serrasalmidae
Source: Ensembl